Molecule: ribosomal RNA, 512 nt
Filed under: Grylloblatta gurneyi
Lineage: Eukaryota; Metazoa; Arthropoda; Insecta; Grylloblattodea; Grylloblattidae
Description: partial 16S ribosomal RNA
Rfam family: Bacterial large subunit ribosomal RNA
Source: RNAcentral
GUCUUCUUGUUAUUUAUAUGAAGUCUGGUCUGCCCACUGAAUUAUUGAAGGGCCGCGGUAUUUUGACCGUGCAAAGGUAGCAUAAUCAUUAGUCUUUUAAUUGGGGGCUGGAAUGAAGGGCUGCACGAGGUAUAGGCUGUCUUAUUUGAAUUGUUGUUAGAAUUUAAUUUUUAAGUUAAAAAGCUUAAAUUUUUUUGAAGGACGAGAAGACCCUAUAGAACUUUAUAUAUAUUUAAUAUAAAUGGUUUUUGGUUGUUUUUAUAUUUAUUUAUUUUUAUAUUUUGUUGGGGUGAUAGGAAAAUAAUAUUAACUUUUUUUAUUGACUUACAUUGAUUUAUGGUUAUUUGAUCCAUUUUUAGUGAUUAUAAGAUUAAGUUACCUUAGGGAUAACAGCGUAAUUUUUCUUUAGAGUUCUUAUCGACAGGAAAGUUUGCGACCUCGAUGUUGGAUUAAGAUUAAUUUUUGGUGUAGAAGCUUAAAUAUUAGGUCUGUUCGACCUUUAAAUUCUUACA